This 782-nucleotide ribosomal RNA is filed under the name uncultured archaeon. RNAcentral describes it as "bacterial SSU rRNA". It matches the Rfam family "Archaeal small subunit ribosomal RNA", at positions 59 to 850 of the family's 1478-position model. The record is from RNAcentral.
CGAAUGCCGCAAGGCAUGGCGUACUGCUCAGUAACACGUGGACAACCUACCCUGAGGACGGGUAUAAACCCGGGAAACUGGGUAUAAUCCCCGAUAGUCCUCGGCUGCUGGAAUGCACCGAGGACGAAAGCUCCGGCGCCUUAGGAUGGGUCUGCGGCCUAUCAGGUAGUAGUGGGUGUAACGUACCUACUAGCCUACGACGGGUACGGGUUGUGUGAGCAAGAGCCCGGAGUUGGAUUCUGAGACACGAAUCCAGGCCCUACGGGGCGCAGCAGGCGCGAAAACUUUACAAUGCGGGAAACCGUGAUAAGGGAACCUCGAGUGCCUGUAUAUGCAGGCUGUCCAGGUGUCUAAAAAACACCUGAAGAAAGGGCCGGGCAAGACCGGUGCCAGCCGCCGCGGUAAUACCGGCGGCUCGAGUGGUGGCCACUUUUAUUGGGCUUAAAGCGUUCGUAGCUGGGUUGUUAAGUCUCUUGGGAAAUCUGACGGCUCAACCGUCAGGCGUCCAAGGGAUACUGGCAAUCUUGGAACCGGGAGAGGUGAGGGGUACUUCGGGGGUAGGAGUGAAAUCCUGUAAUCCUCGAGGGACCACCUGUGGCGAAGGCGCCUCACCAGAACGGCUUCGACAGUGAGGGACGAAAGCUGGGGGAGCAAACCGGAUUAGAUACCCGGGUAGUCCCAGCCCUAAACGAUGCGCGUUAGGUGUAUCGGUGACCACGAGUCACCGAGGUGCCGAAGGGAAACCGUGAAACGUGCCGCCUGGGAAGUACGGUCGCAAGGCU